Drosophila erecta is the source of this 488-nucleotide long non-coding RNA. RefSeq lists it as uncharacterized. NCBI's taxonomy places the organism in Eukaryota, Metazoa, Arthropoda, Insecta, Diptera, Drosophilidae. The record is from RefSeq and is a predicted model, not a curated record. The transcript has 3 exons.
AUGCUGAGCCGCAGGUUCGCAGAAUCGGGGCUUUAGUCUCGAAAAGCCUGCUGUGCGUGCAGGGGUUUUCAACGCGCAAGCACACGCGGCGUAUACGCAACACGGCUGUAGAGGUUGUUGCUAAAAAGACGAAAAAUUACGGUUAGUUAAAUGGAAACAAAAAAGAACCGAAGGAAUAUAUAUCCAUAUAGCAACAACGAGAACAGUCACAGCAGCGACGUGGAGCCCACGAACGAUAAAUCUUUAACGUGGAUUUCAUGCAUCGCAGAGUUUUCAGGAACAAAACUGCAGCAGCGUUAAUUUGCCCAAUAAAAUGCAAACAGCCACGAGGAGCAACUAGCAACUAGCGCCGCCAUAAAUAUCAUCAGCCACUGAGAGUCGUGGAGCAAUGAAACGCGUUUUCCGCGGGAAAACAAAGGAAAAACCAAGGGGGAAAAAUCAACAGGGAGAGCACAGCGGGUGGGACGCCGCAUUUAGAGACAGUCAAA